CCUACGGGGGGCUGCAGUGGGGAAUAUUGGACAAUGGGCGAAAGCCUGAUCCAGCCAUGCCGCGUGUGUGAAGAAGGCCUUCGGGUUGUAAAGCACUUUCAGUGGGGAAGAAAGCCUUGGGGCUAAUACCCUCGAGGAAGGACAUCACCCACAGAAGAAGCACCGGCUAACUCCGUGCCAGCAGCCGCGGUAAUACGGAGGGUGCGAGCGUUAAUCGGAAUUACUGGGCGUAAAGCGCGCGUAGGCGGUCUGAUAAGCCGGUUGUGAAAGCCCCGGGCUCAACCUGGGAACGGCAUCCGGAACUGGCAGGCUAGAGUGCAGGAGAGGAAGGUAGAAUUCCCGGUGUAGCAGUGAAAUGCGUAGAGAUCGGGAGGAAUACCAGUGGCGAAGGCGGCCUUCUGGACUGACACUGACGCUGAGGUGCGAAAGCGUGGGUAGCAAACAGGAUUAGAUACCCGGGUAGUC
Molecule: ribosomal RNA, 465 nt
Filed under: Vreelandella stevensii
Lineage: Bacteria; Pseudomonadati; Pseudomonadota; Gammaproteobacteria; Oceanospirillales; Halomonadaceae
Description: partial 16S ribosomal RNA
Rfam family: Bacterial small subunit ribosomal RNA
Source: RNAcentral